This is a non-coding RNA of Oryza sativa Japonica Group (Japanese rice), 1322 nucleotides long. The record is from RefSeq and is a predicted model, not a curated record. NCBI's taxonomy places the organism in Eukaryota, Viridiplantae, Streptophyta, Magnoliopsida, Poales, Poaceae.
CCCCUGUCGCCUCAAGUGAGCUUCCCCUUCGUCCAUUUCAGAUUUGCAGGGGAGCAGCCGAAGCAGCCGGCUUCCAUGGCCGGAACUGAGCUGAGCGUGCGUGCGCUGCUGCCGUACGUGUGCAGCCAUGUCAGCCAGCAAAGCAAAGUGCGUGGAAACUCCCGUUAAAUGAUCCUGCAGAAGCGCCCUCCUCCUCCUCCUCCUUCCUCUUCCUCCAAUUUCCAAACCCUACCACCGACCACCGAUAAAAGUCCCCAAACUCUCCACUCGCUCAACCGCACCCCUCCAGUUUCCCCACACGCCUCUUUCCUAUCCCAAGAAACCAAAUCUCUCAGUGGUACCAUGGCAAGCCGCCCUUCGGCCGCUGCCUCCCUCGGGCUAGCGGCGGCUGUCGCCGCCGCUGCCGCUGCCGGAUUCCUCACCCACGUCGACCGGUUCGGUGAAAACACCUUGGUUGGAGCUCCUCCGUCGCGAGACGCCGCUGUCCAGCUGAUGCUCCUGCGGCUGCUUGUGGCGGCGGCGGCGAUGGGUGCCUUCAACACCGCCGUCGCGCUCAUCUACGCCCGCCUGUACAACGCCGGCGGCGGCGGCGUGAACGGGAGGAUUACACGGGGCGUUUACCUCGUCCUGUUUGCGUCUUCCGGCGUGCUACAUGUCUUCUUGGUUCCUCAGCUAGAGCCAGGCGUCAUCGUCGAUGGCGCUCAAGAACUUCUGCCUCCUCUCGCCGUCGCCGUUGCACAUGUGCUUCUUCCAACUGCUGCGGCGGCGACGUUCUUCCUCUCCAUGAUGCUCAUCUACGCGCAUGUCGGUGCCGGCGGCGGCGCCGUUGGGGACAUGAUGGCGAUCCCGACGACCACCGUGAAGCUCCUCACCAAGCUGGUACUCGCUGCUGCACUUGUCACUGUCGUUCUUACCCUCACCGCGACCGCCCUUGCCUCCUACGCCGACUGAUCAGCAUCAGCAUACGCAUCCAUCGACGACGACAUAGACACGGUCUACUGUGGAGGAAGCUUUUUCGGCCGGAAGAGGAGAGCAAGCUGAAAACAAAAGGUGGAACAGAUGAAGCAAAUGAUGACAAGAUUAAGACCUCCAAGAGCAGGAGUGGGAUAGUUGUGAUGUUUGCUUUCCCUGUUUAUAGUUGCUGUAGGAGUUCUACUGGUUGUGUUUAGAGCUUGUGACUGUUGUCAUUGGGGUCCUUUUGCCGUUUAGAGUUAUUUAGCUAAGUGUGGUCCCUGUAAUUGAAUAUAAGUGCAAUAUAACUACAAGUUGGAUAUACAAUAACACGAAUCUUAAUGCAAGAUUUUAUGGAUGAAAAAGUGAAA